RNAcentral lists this ribosomal RNA (537 nucleotides) under Triticum aestivum (bread wheat). Its description in RNAcentral is "partial small subunit ribosomal RNA". The record is from RNAcentral. Lineage: Eukaryota; Viridiplantae; Streptophyta; Magnoliopsida; Poales; Poaceae.
AUGUGUGGUGUAGCCGCCGCAGCACUGCAACUGUGGUGGCAUAUUCACACAGUCCACCAGCCAGGCGAGCGAUGUGAGCCCACGCAACACCAAGUCCUUUUGGUCAGAGUUGCUAGCGAAGCAAAUGCAAAGAUCGAACGACAUGGCUGGAUACAACCAAGGAUAAAUUACGUCAAGUUGAAUGUUGACGGGGCUUUUGACCCGGACUUACUCCAAGGUUCUUAUGGAGUUGUUAUUAGAGACUCAAGUGGCAAGUUUAUUGCGGCGGGAAACGGGAAAAUUGAAUGGUGUGGUGAUGCUCUUAUGGCUGAGGCAAUGGCUCUGCGGUUUGGUCUCAACCUAGCUACAACUGUCGGAUGCAAUCGCAUAGAAGUGAAUUCUGAUAACGUUGAAGUGAUUGAGGCGAUGAAAAAUGGUGGACAAUCAUUUGGAAUUGCGGCAGCAAUCUUUGAUGAUAGCUAUCAUAUUGCUUGUGAUUUCCCACAUAUUAUUUUGAGCAUAUUCCUAGGGAGUCAAACUGUGUUGCCCAUGAUCUAG